AGUUUGAUCCUGGCUCAGAUUGAACGCUGGCGGCAUGCCUUACACAUGCAAGUCGAACGGCAGCACGGGAGCAAUCCUGGUGGCGAGUGGCGAACGGGUGAGUAAAGUAUCGGAACGUACCUUUCAGUGGGGGAUAACGUAGCGAAAGUUGCGCUAAUACCGCAUAUUCUGUGAGCAGGAAAGCAGGGGACCGCAAGGCCUUGCGCUCUUUGAGCGGCCGAUGUCAGAUUAGCUAGUUGGUGAGGUAACGGCUUACCAAGGCGACGAUCUGUAGCGGGUCUGAGAGGAUGAUCCGCCACACUGGAACUGAGACACGGUCCAGACUCCUACGGGAGGCAGCAGUGGGGAAUUUUGGACAAUGGGCGCAAGCCUGAUCCAGCCAUGCCGCGUGAGUGAAGAAGGCCUUCGGGUUGUAAAGCUCUUUCGGCCGGGAAGAAAUCGCAUGGGUUAAUACCCUGUGUGGAUGACGGUACCGGAAUAAGAAGCACCGGCUAACUACGUG
This 502-nucleotide ribosomal RNA is filed under the name uncultured bacterium. RNAcentral describes it as "bacterial SSU rRNA". It matches the Rfam family "Bacterial small subunit ribosomal RNA", at positions 10 to 507 of the family's 1533-position model. The record is from RNAcentral.